UUGGUGAGUUGCCGGAGGCUAGCUUUGGAGCUACCUCGUCGUUUGCUUUCAGAUUCUUAGUGUGUCGCCUCUAAUUAGUGUAUCUGUCUGUUAUAUAGAUUCUAUGACUUUUCGAGAUUCUUAGUUUGGAGCUACUUUGGAGGUUUUGUUUAGAUGUUGAUGAGAUGCAAUGAUAUUAUUAUUUCGCUGUGAUGUUUUGAAAAAUUAAUUAUGCAUGUUAAUUCCAAAGUCCUAAAACCUACAUCAUCAAAAAUUAAUUGCUUUGGAGCUUUAUACAUCUUUAAUGCAUGUUGAUGAGAUGCAAUGAUAUUAUUAUUU
RNAcentral lists this long non-coding RNA (318 nucleotides) under Medicago truncatula (barrel medic). Its description in RNAcentral is "lncRNA gene21363". Lineage: Eukaryota; Viridiplantae; Streptophyta; Magnoliopsida; Fabales; Fabaceae. The record is from RNAcentral.